GUUGUUCGUUCUUACAACGAUAAAGAUGGCGGCCAACACAGAAAAUAGUCGAGUUUUGAUACUCGGAGGGACAGGAUUCAUUGGCAGGAAUUUAGUUCACUAUUUGGUUUCUAAUAAUUUAGCAAGCAAGGUGAGAGUUGCAGAUAAGGUGCCCCCUCAGAUGGCUUGGAUGAACAAGAUUCAUAAAGAUGCCUUUGCUAGUCCAGUAGUAGAGUUUAAACAUUCCAAUCUUAUAAACCCAGCGUCGGUGUCAUCCGUGUUCACAGACGAGACGGGAAAUUACGAUUACGUGAUAAACCUUGCGGCUGAAACAAAAUAUGGACAAUCAGACAACGUUUAUAGGGAAGGUAUUGUGAGACUUGGUAUGAACUGUGCGGAGGAAGCAGCCAGAAGAAAUGUGAAAUUAUAUAUUGAGAUAUCGUCUGGUCAAAUGUAUUCCAGUGAUAAGAAACCUGCCAAUGAGGAUUUGAAACCUGAUCCAUGGACACAUGUAGCCAAGUAUAAGUUACAGGUGGAGAACCAAUUAAGUCAUGUGACAGGUCUGAAAUAUCGUGUAAUAAGACCUGGUAUAGUUUAUGGUGUCGGAGACAAGUGUGCACUUGGUCCAAGAAUUAUAAUUGGUGCAAUAUACAAGUAUAUCAGACAAAGAAUGAAGUGAAAAGGUUCCUUAACAAUGCAAGGGAGACAACCCUAUUUUGGAUUCUUUGACCAGGCGGCCACAAGGGUGAAUUAUACAUGCAUAUACAUGUUGGGUAAAGCCAAGUGGAGACAGUCUGAUGACCAGUGAACACUUACAGUCUUGGAUGAAAAUAGGAAAAGAAUGUCAUCCAAAAGGCAGCCUUUGUUGAAAUAAUUAUUAUGUUGGCACUGCUGGGUUUCUGAUGCCUUCAUACCUCCAGAUAAUUGGAUUCUUAAACGUAACAGCCAGAAAUGGAAAAUCCAAAGCAAGAAAUGGAAAAUCCAUGUUUUGAGGAAAGCAGAGCAACAAGAAAAUCCUGUACAAGAGCCUAUGAAACAAAACAGAAAAGUAAAAUUGUGACAGGCAUAUGCAACAAGAUGUACAGAUCUAUACAAACGUGAGUCCAGCAUGUGGCUGGUGUCAUGAUGCCAGCAAUACAGGUUUAGACAAGUGUGUUUGUGGGACGGCAUAUGGCCUUGUAUUCAAGGACAAUAGCACAUUGAAAUACCAAGCAGAUAGAUGGUGAUUUUAUGAAAUGUCCAUGGCAUAAAUUUGGUGGUUUGUGAACGGUAAGAUUGUUAAUUCGUGGAAUUCAAUUGCCAGGACCUCUUUUCUUGAUGGAAGGAUUUAAGAUGUACUGCCUGCCAGCAUCCGGGAAUCUUUAAAUGGAAAUUAGGAAACAGAGUGUUGAUGUCUGGAAUAUUCUACUGUUGAGAAGUUUAAGAUAUAUUACUUUUAUAAAAAAAGACUUACCUAUACAGAUCAAUUGAGAGACACAAACUUCUGGGAGGACAAUGAAUUGACAUUUGUUUUUCUCAACAUGAAAACGGAAUGAGACAUUCUAGUGGACUAAUUGAUGACACUUACACUGUAGGGAUUCAAAAAUCUACAACAAUGAGAAAUUCAUCAAUAGAAGUUCAGUGAUAAACUCCAGUAGCAGGUGUUCAAGGAAUUCAGAAUCAGUUAUAUCAUAGUGUUCUAACUCCAGUGAUAAACUCCAGUAGAAGGUGUUCAAGGAAUUCAGAAUCAAUAAUAUCAAAGUGUUAUAACUCCAGUAAUUAACAACAGUAGCAGGUGUGCCAAAAUUACAACUCAACUGAUAGAAAUGAGUAGCAGAAAAUUAUAAGUCUGUACCAUGAAAGUUUUGUGAGGGAAUAUACAUGUUUAUAAUUUAUCUGAUGAGCUGAAGUCUGACUCUACAAGAUAAUUUCUGAUUCCAUUCCACUGUAUUGACACUAGUGUUAUAUUGAUAUAUCAUAUUACAUUUGUAAAUUAUUUGGAAAGAUAUGUCUUAAAGAUCUUUCAUAUACCUCUGUAUUUCAAACCACUUGCGCCUCCCCGCUGUGGGUUCGAAUCCCGACAGGGACUUUGGAUUCUUUCAUGUGAGGAAGCUAGCUUACAGAACGUCGGUGGUUCUACUCAAGUGCCCGUUCGUGCCUGAAAUAAUGCACGGAAGGGCACCUGAGGUCUUCCUCCAUCAGUAAAGCUGGAAUGUCUCGAUAUGACCUAUAAUGUGUAGAUGUGACAUAAAACCCAAAACAAACAAACAAAAAUACCUCUGUACAACUAAGUUAUGCAGCUGGUAUACAAGUUUGAGGUUGUGAGUCAUUGUGGUUGUCUGGCCAUUUAUAUGUACUUCUGUUUUAAUGCUCAACCAAUUGUAAAAUAACUGGACAAGAAUAAUUGUCACAAUAUCUAUUUGCCCAAUAUUUACAUGCAGUACAACAGGCAAAGUAGUACUCUUACUCCUGAUUAAAUUUUCUCAAUAAUAACUUUGGAAAUUUUCUGUCAUAAAAAUAUAAAGCUGUAAGAAAUACAAAUAUCUAUGCCAUUUGUUAAAUUUUCAAAGUCAAGUCAAAUGUUUUAUUAGCAAAAACAUAUACAUGUACAUGUUCAUUGCCAAGUUACAUUUUAGCGGUUAUUAUUAUACAUACACAUAAUUAUGUUUCAGUGUAAAAUAAUUCAAACAAAUGUAUUAAAGGGACUCCACUGACGUAUUUUUGACAUGACAAUACUAAAAAUUAUUUUUUGAGAUUAAUGUUCCAUUUGAUGUAGGUCUCGACCAGUAAUAUGUGUGAAAAAAUUCAGAUUAUUAGCUCACUCCGUUUUUCCAGAAUAAUUCUUCUUCUUAUGAAAAUGACCAAAAAUUGAAAAGUGUUGCAACAUUUUAUUACUUAUAUCAGGUUGAAAAUAGUAUAAAGAUACAAUUUUGAAUUUAUUUUAGGGUAUUUCUUAAUUAUCUUUUGCAUAUCUUUCUGUUUUAAGUGCCACAGCUGAUCCAUCAACAACAUUCAAAUUUUUAUGUUCCUAGGAUUUUUGACCUGAGUGGAGUUCCUUUAACGUAGAUUCAAUUCAUAGUUGCAUCGCUUAUUAAACAAAUUUUGCUAAGUUUAUAUUUACACAUAUUUCAUUUUGUACAUUUUGGUUUUCUUUCAAUAUUUCUAUGUCUAUCCUCUUCAAUAACUAAUUUAGGUGAAGAGCACCUAAACUACAAUGCUUAAAAUUAUUAACACAACUUUAAUAUUUCUCUUGGGUAAAUUCUAUUUAAACAAAUUAUAACUUUCUAAUUUUGAAAAAGUAAUAAGUUAGCACACCAUUGUUGUAGUUGCUGAUCAAAAAUAUUUUGUAUUUUGGUAUUUACAGGCACAGUGGUAAUAUUACCAUUAUUCUAUACAUGUAUAAUUACUUAAAUCUGACGACAUAUUUUUAACAUAUUUUGACCAGCUAUUUAAUAAAUUACCAUUUGCAUCAUUAAAAAGCACCGGUUUGUAUAAAAGAGAGUUUGGGGAUUUCAUAAUUCUGUACAAGUACUAAAUAAUUCUGACUUUUUCCAGAACUAAUAAAGGAUUUAGUAUACAUUUAUUUUGAAAUACCCAUUGAGUAAAGACCAAUCAAUUCUUUUUGUAAACACAGCAGGUGAAGUAUAAAUGUGUCAAUUUGAAUUUUAGGAAGUCAUUCCAACAUUUAUAAAUAACAGGUGUUGCAGACUGAUUAAUUACAUCACAAACAAAUUUGUUGUGACUUUUAAUUGUUCACAAGCAUUUGCUAAACUUUUCUGCUUUUUUCUGCUUAAAGGCCCAGAAAUUAUGCCCAGAAAUGUUUUUAGUUUUAUUUCUCAAAAGCUUCUUAUUUUUGGUGUGUUUGUAUUGUUUUAAAAAAAAGUUACUUAUUGUCAAUUACCUUAACCAUGAUCUUUUUCUUCUGUUGUUAUUUCAUUAAUUGGUACAGUAUAGUGAUUUAGUAUUUUGUAUGGGAGUCAAACUAUUACUUUGUUUACAUUUCGACAACUAUUAUGACAAAUAAUUUCACAUGUUAAUUUUAAGCGAUACUUUUUUCUGGUCACAAGCAUCUGAUAUAAAACAAUGAUUUAAACAUAAUUGAGCCGUGUCACGACAAA
Ruditapes philippinarum (Manila clam) is the source of this 4076-nucleotide RNA transcript. It is a transcript of the gene named dTDP-D-glucose 4,6-dehydratase-like, with no coding region annotated. The transcript is spliced from 15 exons. The record is from RefSeq and is a predicted model, not a curated record. NCBI's taxonomy places the organism in Eukaryota, Metazoa, Mollusca, Bivalvia, Venerida, Veneridae.